Molecule: long non-coding RNA, 367 nt
Organism: Monodelphis domestica (gray short-tailed opossum)
Lineage: Eukaryota; Metazoa; Chordata; Mammalia; Didelphimorphia; Didelphidae
Source: RefSeq, a predicted model, not a curated record
AUUUCAGUGUAGCCACUUCCUCUUUCCUCCACUAAGCUGGUCAAACUUAAUGGAGUCUGGACCUGGCCAAAAAUUUCUAUGAGUCUUCUAUGAUGGGAAAAUAUAUCUGAACGCAUGAUGAGUCUAAGUAGAAAACCCAUCAAUGAGUAGAAGAUGUCAAUUCAUUUAUACCCUAAGAUAAAGAAACUGAGAUGCAAAGGAGAGGCUUAAUUUAUCCAAGGUCAUAUAGUUCCUGAAUGGAACACUUGGGUCCAGAAUCUAGAUAUUCUAACUUCCAGUCUAGAGCUCUGUGUUCUAUGCCAUGUUUCCCUCCCAAAUGUACUACAAUCCAAGCUCUGAAAUAGAAUAAUAAACUGUAGGAAAACUA